AUUGAACGCUGGCGGCAGGCCUAACACAUGCAAGUCGAGCGGAUGAAGGGAGCUUGCUCCUGGAUUCAGCGGCGGACGGGUGAGUAAUGCCUAGGAAUCUGCCUGGUAGUGGGGGAUAACGUCCGGAAACGGGCGCUAAUACCGCAUACGUCCUGAGGGAGAAAGUGGGGGAUCUUCGGACCUCACGCUAUCAGAUGAGCCUAGGUCGGAUCAGCUAGUUGGUGGGGUAAAGGCCUACCAAGGCGACGAUCCGUAACUGGUCUGAGAGGAUGAUCAGUCACACUGGAACUGAGACACGGUCCAGACUCCUACGGGAGGCAGCAGUGGGGAAUAUUGGACAAUGGGCGAAAGCCUGAUCCAGCCGUGCCGCGUGUGUGAAGAAGGUCUUCGGAUUGUAAAGCACUUUAAGUUGGGAGGAAGGGCAGUAAGUUAAUACCUUGCUGUUUUGACGUUACCAACAGAAUAAGCACCGGCUAACUUCGUG
This 484-nucleotide ribosomal RNA is filed under the name uncultured bacterium. RNAcentral's name for it is "partial 16S ribosomal RNA". It matches the Rfam family "Bacterial small subunit ribosomal RNA", at positions 30 to 507 of the family's 1533-position model. The record is from RNAcentral.